This 425-nucleotide ribosomal RNA is filed under the name uncultured bacterium. Its description in RNAcentral is "partial 16S ribosomal RNA". It matches the Rfam family "Bacterial small subunit ribosomal RNA", at positions 354 to 796 of the family's 1533-position model. The record is from RNAcentral.
GUGGGGAAUCUUAGACAAUGGGCGCAAGCCUGAUCUAGCCAUGCCGCGUGAGCGAUGAAGGCCUUAGGGUUGUAAAGCUCUUUCGUGGGGGAAGAUAAUGACUGUACCCCAAGAAGAAGCCCCGGCUAACUCCGUGCCAGCAGCCGCGGUAAUACGGCGGGGGCUAGCGUUGUUCGGAAUUACUGGGCGUAAAGCGCACGUAGGCGGACUGGAAAGUCAGGGGUGAAAUCCCGGGGCUCAACCCCGGAACUGCCUUUGAAACUCCCAGUCUUGAGUUCGAGAGAGGUGAGUGGAAUUCCGAGUGUAGAGGUGAAAUUCGUAGAUAUUCGGAGGAACACCAGUGGCGAAGGCGGCUCACUGGCUCGAUACUGACGCUGAGGUGCGAAAGCGUGGGGAGCAAACAGGAUUAGAUACCCGAGUAGUCC